RNAcentral lists this unclassified non-coding RNA (306 nucleotides) under uncultured fungus. RNAcentral describes it as "partial contains small subunit ribosomal RNA, internal transcribed spacer 1, and 5.8S ribosomal RNA". The stretch from base 1 to 73 matches the Rfam family "Eukaryotic small subunit ribosomal RNA", at positions 1759 to 1831 of the family's 1831-position model. Lineage: Eukaryota; Fungi. The record is from RNAcentral.
UCAAACUUGGUCAUUUAGAGGAAGUAAAAGUCGUAACAAGGUUUCCGUAGGUGAACCUGCGGAAGGAUCAUUAUUGAGAAUCGGGUUCUCUUUGAGGCCCAUCUCCAAACCUUUGUCUAUUAUAUCUUGGUUGCUUUGGUAAAUCAGUCCUUUGGGACGAUUGGUUGAGAAAUCAACUGAUUCGUGUUUACCAAUAGCCUCUUUUUAAACUCUUGUUUAAUAACCAGUCUGAAAAACUUGAUUUUUAAUCAAACUAAAACUUUCAACAACGGAUCUCUUGGUUCUGGCAUCGAUGAAGAACGCAGC